This 406-nucleotide ribosomal RNA is filed under the name uncultured Entrophospora. Its description in RNAcentral is "SSU rRNA". It matches the Rfam family "Eukaryotic small subunit ribosomal RNA", at positions 694 to 1098 of the family's 1831-position model. The record is from RNAcentral. Lineage: Eukaryota; Fungi; Glomeromycota; Glomeromycetes; Entrophosporales; Entrophosporaceae.
CUUUCCGUUCUGGGGAGCCUCAUGCCCUUCGCUGGGUGUGCUGGGGAACCAGGACUUUUACCUUGAAAAAAUUAGAGUGUUUAAAGCAGGCAUUUUGCUUGAAUACAUUAGCAUGGAAUAAUAAAAUAGGACGGAUGGUUCUAUUUUGUUGGUUUCUAGGAUCACCGUAAUGAUUAAUAGGGAUAGUUGGGGGCAUUAGUAUUCAAUUGUCAGAGGUGAAAUUCUUGGAUUUAUUGAAGACUAACUACUGCGAAAGCAUUUGCCAAGGAUGUCUUCAUUAAUCAAGAACGAAAGUUAGGGGAUCGAAGACGAUCAGAUACCGUCGCAGUCUUAACCAUAAACUAUGCCGACUAGGAAUCAGACGAUGUUAAUUUUUUAAUGACUCGUUCGGCGCCUUACGGGAAAC